AUGGCCGGCAUCAUCCACAAGAUCGAGGAGAAGCUCCACAUGGGCGGUGGCAGCGACGAGCACAAGAAGGCCGAGGAGCACAAGAAGGACGGCGAGCGCAAGGAGGGCAUGAUGGAGAAGAUCAAGGACAAGAUCAGCAGCAACGACCACGGCGACGGCAAGUCGUCCCGCGACCACAAGGAGAAGAGGGACAAGAAGCACGGCGAGGGCCACAAGGAUGACGGCGGUCAUAGCAGCAGCAGCGACAGCGGCUGA
RNAcentral lists this ribosomal RNA (255 nucleotides) under Triticum aestivum (bread wheat). RNAcentral's name for it is "partial small subunit ribosomal RNA". The record is from RNAcentral. Lineage: Eukaryota; Viridiplantae; Streptophyta; Magnoliopsida; Poales; Poaceae.